GUUUGAUCAUGGCUCAGGACGAACGCUGGCGGCGUGCCUAACACAUGCAAGUCGAGCGGAGCAUCGCAUAUUCGUAUGAGGUGCUUAGCGGCGAACGGGUGAGUAACGCGUGGAUAACCUGCCCAUCAAGCCGGGAUAACAUGUUGAAAGAGAUGCUAAUACCGGAUGGGCCAUAUUGCCGCAUGGUGAUAUGGGGAAAGGGAUACCGAUGGUGGAUGGAUCCGCGUUCCAUUAGCUAGUUGGUGAGGUAACGGCUCACCAAGGCGACGAUGGAUAGCCGGCCUGAGAGGGUGACCGGCCACACUGGGACUGAGACACGGCCCAGACUCCUACGGGAGGCAGCAGUGGGGAAUCUUCCGCAAUGGACGCAAGUCUGACGGAGUAACGCCGCGUGAGUGAUGAAGGUUUUCGGAUCGUAAAACUCUGUCUGGCGGGAAGAACGGCGCGCAAGCGCGUGACGGUACCGCCGAAGGAAGCCCCGGCUAACUACGUGCCAGCAGCCGGGGUAAUACGUAGGGGGCGAGCGUUGUCCGGAAUUAUUGGGCGUAAAGCGCGCGUAGGCGGCCCGGCAAGUCAGGUGUGAAAACCCGGGGCUCAACUUCGGGAGUGCAUUUGAAACUAUCGGGCUUGAGGACAGGAGAGGUGAGUGGAAUUCCUAGUGUAGCGGUGAAAUGCGUAGAUAUUAGGAGGAACACCAGUGGCGAAGGCGACUCUCUGGCCUGUAACUGACGCUGAGGUGCGAAAGCUAGGGGAGCAAACGGGAUUAGAUACCCCGGUAGUCCUAGCCGUAAGCGAUGGGCACUGGGUGUAGGAGGUAUCGACCCCUCCUGUGCCGCAGCUAACGCAUUAAGUGCCCCGCCUGGGGAGUACGGCCGCAAGG
Molecule: ribosomal RNA, 880 nt
Filed under: uncultured bacterium
Lineage: Bacteria
Description: bacterial SSU rRNA
Rfam family: Bacterial small subunit ribosomal RNA
Source: RNAcentral